This 243-nucleotide ribosomal RNA is filed under the name uncultured bacterium. RNAcentral describes it as "partial 16S ribosomal RNA". It matches the Rfam family "Bacterial small subunit ribosomal RNA", at positions 534 to 776 of the family's 1533-position model. The record is from RNAcentral.
GCUAGCGUUGUUCGGAAUUACUGGGCGUAAAGCGCGUGCAGGCGGUUGUCCAAGUUGGAUGUGAAAGCCUUGAGCUUAACUCAAGAAAUGCAUUCAGGACUGGAUGACUAGAGGACCGGAGAGGAUAGUGGAAUUCCCAGUGUAGUGGUGAAAUACGUAGAGAUUGGGAAGAACACCAGUGGCGAAGGCGGCUAUCUGGACGGUUUCUGACGCUAAGACGCGAAAGCGUGGGGAGCAAACAGG